This 528-nucleotide ribosomal RNA is filed under the name Triticum aestivum (bread wheat). Its description in RNAcentral is "partial small subunit ribosomal RNA". Lineage: Eukaryota; Viridiplantae; Streptophyta; Magnoliopsida; Poales; Poaceae. The record is from RNAcentral.
AUGGGGAACAAGGGGAGCAGCAGAGUCUGCGACGCUGGGGAGAAGGAGGGCGGCGAGGCGGCAACGGUGAGGAAGUUCGUGCUCACGGUGCCGACGCACUGCCGCUGCCUGGGGUGCACGGGCAAGCUGCGCGCCGCCGUGACGGAGCUCGCCGUGGCACCGGGCGUGCUGGAGGUGGACCAGUCCGGGGCGCUGGCCACCUGGGAGGUGGCGGUGCUUGCCACGGCUGACCCUGAGCGCCUCCGCAGGCGCGUCAGCAAGGUCAUGGGCAAGACGGUCGGCCUCGUCUCCGGCUCCGGUGGUGGGAGGAGCGUGAGGGAGGACCAGCCGCCGCCGCCGUCACCGGGCCAUCGUCAGUACGGGGGCUACGUGGAUGCUUACCCUCCUUCGGUGCCGCCCUACUACCCGGGCCCGCCGGCCCAUGCUUGGGUACCGUACGUGCACCCGUGUUUUGCUGCUCCGGCGCCGGCUCCACUUGGCCCCUACUGGCCCAGCGCGCCGAGGUGGGCCGGCGGCCCCGGGUACUGA